RNAcentral lists this ribosomal RNA (440 nucleotides) under uncultured Shewanella sp. RNAcentral's name for it is "bacterial SSU rRNA". It matches the Rfam family "Bacterial small subunit ribosomal RNA", at positions 358 to 790 of the family's 1533-position model. Lineage: Bacteria; Pseudomonadati; Pseudomonadota; Gammaproteobacteria; Alteromonadales; Shewanellaceae. The record is from RNAcentral.
GGAAUAUUGCACAAUGGGGGAAACCCUGAUGCAGCCAUGCCGCGUGUGUGAAGAAGGCCUUCGGGUUGUAAAGCACUUUCAGUAGGGAGGAAAGGGUGUAACUUAAUACGUUAUAUCUGUGACGUUACCUACAGAAGAAGGACCGGCUAACUCCGUGCCAGCAGCCGCGGUAAUACGGAGGGUCCGAGCGUUAAUCGGAAUUACUGGGCGUAAAGCGUGCGCAGGCGGUUUGUUAAGCGAGAUGUGAAAGCCCUGGGCUCAACCUAGGAAUAGCAUUUCGAACUGGCGAACUAGAGUCUUGUAGAGGGGGGUAGAAUUCCAGGUGUAGCGGUGAAAUGCGUAGAGAUCUGGAGGAAUACCGGUGGCGAAGGCGGCCCCCUGGACAAAGACUGACGCUCAUGCACGAAAGCGUGGGGAGCAAACAGGAUUAGAUACCCCGG